CCCCGGCACGUGCGAAGUCUCACCCGCGCUCCGCCCCGGCAGCCAGGAGUCCGCGGAGAAGCCGGCUACCCGGGCCCCAGCGGGGAUGCGGGCGCCCCGGGGGUGCAGGGCUACCCCGGGCCCCCCGGCCCUCGAGGACUGGCGGGAGNNNNNNNNNNNNNNNNNNNNNNNNNNNNNNNGCCGGCGGGGCUUCUUCCUGGAGGCCUCCUCUGCCCGCAGGGCCGGGACGCCAGCGACCAGCACAUCGUGACCGUGAUGAUGAAGAUGAUGCAAGGUGAGGGCGGGCGGCCCCUCCUCCCCCAGCUCUGCUCCCGCAGGGCCCGCGGCUGCCCCGCCUCCGCCCUCGCUGGUCUUCGGUUUCCGCGAAGGCAGGGGAGGAGGAGGGGGCAGGACGCUCGUGGCUCACGCGUCUCCACACCUGGGGGUCUUCACACCUGGGGCCCGGGGCCCGGGGCCCUGCGCCCGCUCCGCCUUCGGGCUGGACUGAGCUGACCCCCAUCUCACUGACCUCCCUCCCUCCCUCCAGAGCAACUGGCAGAGGUCGCUGUGAGUGCCAAGCGGGAGGCCCUGGGUGCCGUCGGGAUGGUGGGUCCGCCAGGACCCCCCGGGCCUCCUGGGUACCCAGGCAAGCAGGGACCCCAUGGGCACCCUGGCCCUCGGGGCGUUCCUGGCAUCGUGGGAGCCGUGGGUCAGAUUGGCAACACCGGCCCCAAGGGAAAACGUGGAGAGAAGGGUGACUGGGGAGAGAUGGGACGCGGGCACCCUGGGAUGCCUGGACCCCCCGGGAUCCCAGGGCUCCCCGGCCGGCCCGGGCAGGCAAUCAAUGGCAAGGACGGGGCCCGCGGUGCCCCAGGGGCCCCGGGGGAAGCAGGCCGACCGGGUCCGCCGGGCCCCGUGGGGCUGCCCGGCUUCUGUGAGCCCACGGCCUGCCUGGCAGCCUCGGCCUACGCCUCUGCGCGCCUCACGGAGCCCGGAUCCAUCAAAGGGCCAUGAGCAGGAGGCCAGGACAGAGCCUGAUGGGCAUCCUGGUGGGGGGGGGGGGACUAGAUUCCCGCGGGGUGGACACGCACCCCAUCCCUCAGACCAGGAAGCCAGCUUUCCAGGCCCUUCCAUCCGGGACCCUGGAGUCCUGAGGAAAAGGAAAUUCUAA
RNAcentral lists this long non-coding RNA (1150 nucleotides) under Vulpes vulpes (red fox). Its description in RNAcentral is "lncRNA (ENSVVUG00000005156.1)". Lineage: Eukaryota; Metazoa; Chordata; Mammalia; Carnivora; Canidae. The record is from RNAcentral.